RNA transcript from Triticum aestivum (bread wheat), 4903 nucleotides. RefSeq lists it as uncharacterized. NCBI's taxonomy places the organism in Eukaryota, Viridiplantae, Streptophyta, Magnoliopsida, Poales, Poaceae. The record is from RefSeq and is a predicted model, not a curated record. The transcript is spliced from 11 exons.
UCACUCACGAACAUUCUCCCCCAAAUCUCAGCCCCCAACCUAGCUCUCUCUCCAUCGGCCGGCGGCCGGCUGCGCCCCGAAUCCCUCGCCGUCGGCUGCGCCCCCAAAUCCCUCGCCUAUUCCAUUCUCUCGUUCGCCCCCUCCGCCCCCAAAUCCCUCGCCUCUUCCAUCCUCUUGUCCGCCCCCUCCGCCUGAUUCGUUGGUCAGUAGCCCAAUGACCCGCUGCCUCCGAAGUGUCGCCGGCAAAGCUUCCCGCGGCUUCCGGAAGAGGGUCGUCGUCAACGACCCCGUGGCCGCCGUCGCUCAACCACCGCAUCCUUCCCUGAGCGGCGGCCUUUCCAAUCCAGGUUACAUGACUUCUGAAGUUAUUUCACUUGUUGACGAGAAAGAAAACAUAGUUAAACUGCUGAUUGUCAAGGAUUAGAUCUUGGAUUUGCUAGUGGAUUUUGGGAGUUUCUUAGCCAGCUUGGUGACUCCAUAUUUUUCACUAUUUCAGCAAGUCUUUGAAUUUGUUAAAUGGCAGAUCGUGCAUGGAUGUAUAAUGGUGGCAGUAUGGUCAAAUUCCCUCUAACCUAUGGCUUGAACAAACCAACCGAUUUCUAGAGCAUGCAUUCUCUUUUCCAGGCGUAGCCCAAGGUGGUAAAAUCAAGUGUCCAUGUGCCAAGUGUCGUAAUUAUAAUAAGCGAAGUAGGGAUGAGGUAGAGAAACACUUGUAUAAAUACGGGUUCAGGGAAAACUAUGAAACAUGGAUAGAACAUGGUGAGAAGUAUGUUCCUAGCCAAGAGGGAUCUUCCUCUGCCACAAACUGUGCGAGGCAUGAUGAAAUUGACCGAAUGGACAAUAUGUUAGUUGACCUAGGUGGCAACUGUCCUCCACCGAUUGAUGAAGAACCAACCUCCUGUGCCAAGGCUUUCUAUAGGAUGGUUAGCAAUGCUGAUGAAAUUGUCCAUGAGAACACAACACCCUCGCGUCUUUCUGCAGUAGCUCGUUUGCUAGCACUAAAAUCUCAGUACAAUAUGUCAAUUGCAGAAUAUGAUGAUGUGUUACAAAUCAUCCAUGAACUUAUGCCUCCGGGUGCUAACUUGUCCAAGGACUUCUACCAAUCUAAGAAACUCUUAGAAGGCCUUGGUAUGCCUUAUGUCAAGAUUGAUGUGUGUAAAAAUAAUUUCAUGUUGUAUUAUAAAGAUAAUGAACAUAAAGACAAGUGUGACAUCUUCGGUACAUCUCGCUAUGAGGAAGGCCAGAAUAAAGUCCCACAUAAAGUGUUGAGAUAUCUCCCUCUUAAAGAUAGAUUACAGAGGUUGUAUGCUCAUGAGGAAAUAGCAAAACAUAUGCAGUCACAUAGUCGUUCCAAUUCUGGUAAGAUGGUGCACCCUAUCGAUGGUGAAGCUUGGCAAGGGUUUGGCAAGGACUUCCCAGAAUUUGCAGAAGAUCGUAGAAAUGUCCGUCUUGUCAUAGCCGGUGAUGGUUUUACACCAUACAAGUUGAAUGCUGCUCCAUAUACUUGCUGGCCUAUUUUUGUAGCUCCAUUAAACCUUCCACCGGAUAUUCUCUUAAAACCAGAGUAUAUAUUCCUUAGCCUUGUAUCCCUGGUCCUGAACAUCCUAAAAAAAAUUUGAGUGUCCUAAUGCAACCUUUAGCUGAUGAACUGAUGCAAUUGUGGACGGGGGUUGAAACAUGGGAUGCUUAUCACAAGGUAAACUUUCCAAUGAAAGCGGCAUUUCUAUGGUCAGUCCACGACUUUCCUGCCUUUGGUAUGUUCGCUGGGUGGAGCACCCAUGGUAAGCUAGCAUGCCCUGAAUGCAUGAGUGAUUCCAAAGCAUUUACUCUUCAAUACGGGCGGAAGCCUUGCUGGUUUGAUUGUCAUAGGCGCUUUCUACCUCCAGAUCAUGAAUUCAGAUUCCAGGCUAAUUCAUUUAGAAAGGAUACAAUAGUGUUAGAAGGGCCUCCAAGGCAUUUAACAGGAGAGGAAGUGGAAUCUCACAUGUACACACAUGUGAAUGACAUCUUCAAUUACAAUAAAUUGCACAAAUGGACUCACAUAAGCUGCUUUUGGCAACUUCCAUACUUCAAAAAGGUGAAGCUCCGACACAACAUCGAUGUGAUGCACAAUGAAAAAAAUGUAGCUGAAGCUAUAUUUAACACAUGCUUUGACAUUCCUGAUAAAACUAAAGAUAAUGUGAAGGCAAGAAAAGAUCUAGCUGAAAUUUGCAACCGUCCUUCGAUGCACUUGAAAUUGCAAGACAAUGGGAAGUGGGAGAAGCCAAGAGCACCUUUUGUCAUCGAUAAGAACGAUGUGAUAACCAUUCUGAAAUGGUUCCAAGAGCUGAAGUUCCCUGAUGGGUAUGCAUCAAGCUUUAGACGGGGAGUUAGCCUACUACACAAAAAGAUUUUUGGCCUCAAAAGUCAUGAUUACCAUAUCUUCAUGGAACGCCUACUUCCUGUUUCAUUUCGUGGCUUCCUUCCAGAGGACAUAUGGAAGUGUCUAGCAGAGCUAAGUUAUUUCUAUAAGAAGCUAUGUGCAAAAGAACUUAGCAAGGAUACCAUACAUUCACUUGAGUAGAAUGUUGUUGUUCUUGUAUGCAAAUUGGAGAAGAUAUUCCCUCCUGGUUUCUUCAAUCCCAUGCAACAUUUAAUCAUACAUCUUCCAUACCAAGCUCGGCUAGGAGGUCCUGUAUUAGCUCGAUGGAUGUACAUCUAUGAAGAUGUAUAGGGAAACUUAAAUCAAAAGUACGCAAUAAGGCUCGAGUUGAGGGUUCCAUUGUUGAGGCUUAUCUAGUUGAGGAGGCAACCAAUUUUCUCUCCAUGUAUUUCAAACACAAUGCCCGGUCAGUUAGGAACAAGGUGCCUCGCUAUGAUGACGGCGCCUCUACAUUUGUAGCCAAAUGCAACCUUGGCAUAUUUCAAUUCCCUGGUCGAUGCAUGAGUCCUCAAGGAACUUAUGAGCUCUCAACAGAAGAGUAUAAGGCUGCAUUCUUGUACAUAUUGACAAACAUCCCGGAGAUGGAGGAUUUGUUCGAGAGAUGGUUGUGCUUCGUCAUAGAAGUACUAGACGCGGUGCCAAGCGUGCUAACCAGAAUACUGUUGCUGGUAUAGGCAGCCCCAACAAUGAUAGCUCGCAAAUGUCUCGAUCUGAUGGCGUCAAUACUACUGCUCCUUUAUCUCAAAACAGUAAAGUGAUCCAAAGGCAGCCCACGUCUCGUCAAAAGGGGAGGAAAAGGAGGGCCACGGCAGAACUAAGAGUGCCUCCACAUUGUCAUAAAGUUGGCCUUGAACCGGAAGGUGACAUGUAUGGUUGUUUCUUCACAUGUGCUUUUAUGCUUGAACUUAGUAUCAUCCUCUCAGUAAAUGCUGCUUACCUUGUUGUUUAGGCAAUUUAAUUAUGCUGACCCUAAUUCCAAACACUACAAGUAUACUAUGCAACUUGGAAUCAUUCUUAAACGAGAACACCCCGGCAUAAUUGAGAAGAAGGAAGGUGGUGUUGUCAUUAAAACCCGUCCAGCUUUGGAGUGGUUUGAUUAUUAUGAUGAUGAUACUCUAGAUGAUAAGGGGCAGACAGCAGCAGAUCGUGUGAAGCAAGUGUUUUGGAACUUGUUUGAGGUUCAUGUGAAAGAUGGUGAAGACCCGGACAAGGUAGAGGAUGAUGCUGAUCGUGUGUUGGACAACUAUGCAAUGAAAAAAGUGAGGGGCAUGAUGUAUCAAGUUCGUGUGGAUGCUGUGAAGUUCUACUAUGAGAAGAAAGGAGAGCUGCUUGAUGACACAUUGGCAUGUUCAAAAGAACUUGAAUAUGAUCAGUACCUGGAAGGCAGAAUGCCAUGGUUUAAGGAACAUGCAUGGCCUCAUCUUUGUGCUUAUUGGUGCUCAAAAGAGUGAAGAUAUUGCUCAAAAUCGGGGAGGUUCACUGCCAUUUGUGGAGGCUCGACAAAUUCUGGCACAGAAAUAUGGGUCUGAGAAGGCUACCACCCUGAAUACGUAUGCUGCAAUGAAAUCUGGAUUAAAGAAUUGGGAUGGCAGUGGCAGCAUCAGUUCCAUCCUCAGCGGGAAGGCAAAAAACGCCACGAUGAUUACUGUGAUUUGGCUAGAGCCGCACAUCCUGAUGAUUGGGAGGAGUGAGAGUUAGAUGGGCAAAUGUUAUAUGAGUCAUCAGGUGGCAUUCCUCAUGGGCGACUAGCAAUAGCGUAUGGAGCAAUUAAGAAGGCUGAUGUUAUCUCAAUAGCUAGAGAGAAGAAACUGAGGCCGUUAUCUUCAGCAUCAUUUCGGCGAACUAUUCAAGAAAAUGAAGAACUGAAGCGACGAGCUAUUCAAGAAAAUGAAGAACUGAAGCGACGUAAUGAGAACCUUCAAAAGAUAGUGGAUAUGCAUGGAAGACUUUUCUUGGCCCUUUUUAAGGAGAUGGGAAAAGAACUACCAGAGGAGCUACGCCAAGGAGAAAGUUUCCAACCACAUGGGGGCACUAAUUCAUCUCAAAUUGAAACCCAAGCACUUGAUGACAACACCGGUGAUGGUGAUUUGGGUGGAACUGUUGGCGGUGACAACUCCAAUGGGAAUAUUGGCGACAUGGCUAUUGGUGCUACUAACCUUCACUGCAACAACCUGGAAAGCGAGACUUAGAGUGGUAGUAACCUGGUUAGUGCCUUUGUUGACUUAGAGCAGGGUAACACAACUUUGGAACUAAUGGUGGUAUUGGUAAUAGAGUAGCAUUUUGGAAGUUGCAAUAGACACUAGAGGCAGGUUAUCUACUUCUGUGAAGUAUGUUGUAUUUUGUUUGUAAUGCAGUGAAGCUUAUCCUUGCAACUUGCAAGUUGAACAAUUUAUCUUUUGUUGUUGAGAACUGUUAUGUACUUAGAUAUGCAAAACUAAAUCUUAUCAGUCCAAUUUAUGGUAGUGGUUGACACAAGGAUCA